CGCGCGAAAAGCUAAACCUCUCGUGAGGGAGGGGCAGAAAGCUACGGGUCUUCUGGACGAAGACGGCCGAGCUAUCGAA
Molecule: non-coding RNA, 79 nt
Filed under: Desulfuromonadales bacterium
Lineage: Bacteria; Pseudomonadati; Thermodesulfobacteriota; Desulfuromonadia; Desulfuromonadales
Description: c-di-GMP sequence
Rfam family: c-di-GMP-I riboswitch aptamer
About the family: GEMM was predicted in a large-scale screen for bacterial structured RNA regulatory elements. Genes associated with GEMM are involved in a diverse array of functions, including chemotaxis regulation, signal transduction, secretion and chitin.
Source: RNAcentral